CUGAUUCCUCCGCUCCCCGCCCGAUCCAGAUGUCGUCUUUCUUCCUCGAUAGCGUUUAAAAUAUCCAAAACCCUAUUUCUCCUACUUCUUCUUCAUCUUUUCUCUGACCAAGAGUAACACAAGAAAGGUUCUCAGUUUCCACCGCAAGCGGCCAUGGUUCCUCGCCAGCCGCCACAGACGGCCCCGUCAGAGGCGUUCAUCUCCACAACUCUCAACCUCACUUCGUCUCCGGCGGGCUUCAGGAUUGAUAAAUCAUUAUUGGAACGUGUUGUUGCUUCAUUAAUCACUUCAUUUUGAUUGGGUUGUUGCUCCCUGUUGUUGUCUGGCAUCCAGAUUUUCUUUGUUUUUUUUAUACUGAUAUAUUCGGGUUUACUUUAAAAUUAAAUGCUUCCAUAUUUACUUGGAAGAUAUUGAUAAAUACCUUUACCUGUAGUCUUGGUUCUCAAUGUUAUAAUUGAUUCUCUUACCUUUCAUGUUGUAGGUUGUUUUGGCUGUUUGAAAUAGGACCAAAAGCAAGUUCUUUUGCUAUUUAAAUUUUUAACAUGAGACUGAGAAUGACAAAGGUCAAUGGAUUUAUGUGCAGACUGCAGAAUAGUUGUGAAGGAAAUUGAUCGUAUUUAUUAUGAGUAUGUACACCGAAGAGAAUGGGGCUGCCGCAAGAGGACACCAUCAUGUUGCAGGGAACUUAACAUGGCAAGUUCUCAUACUACAUGGUUUAAUUUUUUUCA
Molecule: long non-coding RNA, 728 nt
Organism: Lotus japonicus
Lineage: Eukaryota; Viridiplantae; Streptophyta; Magnoliopsida; Fabales; Fabaceae
Exons: 3
Source: RefSeq, a predicted model, not a curated record